UGGAUCCAGACUUUGAUUAUGGCUCAGGAUGAACGCUAGCUACAGGCUUAGCACAUGCGAGUCGAGGGGAAACGAUAUUGGAAGCUUGCUUCCGAUAGGCGUCGACCGGCGCACGGGUGAGUAACGCGUAUCCAACCUGCCCAUCACUUGGGGAUAACCUUGCGAAAGUAAGACUAAUACCCAAUGACGUCUCUAGAAGACAUCUGAAAGAGAUUAAAGAUUUAUCGGUGAUGGAUGGGGAUGCGUCUGAUUAGCUUGUUGGCGGGGUAACGGCCCACCAAGGCAACGAUCAGUAGGGGUUCUGAGAGGAAGGUCCCCCACAUUGGAACUGAGACACGGUCCAAACUCCUACGGGAGGCAGCAGUGAGGAAUAUUGGUCAAUGGACGAGAGUCUGAACCAGCCAAGUAGCGUGCAGGAUGACGGCCCUAUGGGUUGUAAACUGCUCUUAUAAGGGAAUAAAGUGAGCCUCGUGAGACUUUUUGCAUGUACCUUAUGAAUAAGGACCGGCUAAUUCCGUGCCAGCAGCCGCGGUAAUACGGAAGGUCCGGGCGUUAUCCGGAUUUAUUGGGUUUAAAGGGAGCGUAGGCCGGAGAUUAAGCGUGUUGUGAAAUGUAGACGCUCAACGUCUGCACUGCAGCGCGAACUGGUUUCCUUGAGUACGCACAAAGUGGGCGGAAUUCGUGGUGUAGCGGUGAAAUGCUUAGAUAUCACGAAGAACUCCGAUUGCGAAGGCAGCUCACUGGAGCGCAACUGACGCUGAAGCUCGAAAGUGCGGGUAUCGAACAGGAUUGGAUACCCUGGUAGUCCGCACGGUAAACGAUGGAUGCCCGCUGUUGGUCUGAAUAGGUCAGCGGCCAAGCGAAGGCAUUAAGCAUCCCACCUGGGGAGUACGCCGGCAACGGUGCAACUCAAAUGAAUUGACGGA
This 926-nucleotide ribosomal RNA is filed under the name uncultured Bacteroidota bacterium. Its description in RNAcentral is "bacterial SSU rRNA". It matches the Rfam family "Bacterial small subunit ribosomal RNA", at positions 1 to 917 of the family's 1533-position model. Lineage: Bacteria; Pseudomonadati; Bacteroidota. The record is from RNAcentral.